Molecule: ribosomal RNA, 774 nt
Filed under: uncultured archaeon
Lineage: Archaea
Description: bacterial SSU rRNA
Rfam family: Archaeal small subunit ribosomal RNA
Source: RNAcentral
UCGGUUGAUCCUGCCGGACCCCACUGCUAUCGGGAUAGGACUAAGACAUGCUAGUCAAGCGCUUUCUAGCUAAUAUGAAAGUGCGGCAUACAGCUCAGUAACACGUGGCUAACCUGCCCUUGGGACGGAGAAAACCCCGGGAAACUGGGGUUAAUUUCCGAUAGGUGAAAAAUUCUGGAAUGAAUUUUCGCCCAAAAGACAUCUAUGUUAUGCUCAUAUUUGUUGCCCAGGGAUGGGGCCGCGACCGAUCAGGUUGUUGGUGAGGUAAUGGCUCACCAAGCCUUUUACCGGUACGGGCCGUGAGAGCGGGAGCCCGGAGAUGGGCACUGAGACAAGGGCCCAGGCCCUACGGGGCGCAGCAGUCGCGAAAACUUUACAAUACACGAAAGUGUGACAAGGCUAUCCCGAGUGCCAUCCGCUGAGGAAGGCUUUUACCCAGUAUAAAUAGCUGGGAGAAUAAGGAGAGGGCAAGUCUGGUGUCAGCCGCCGCGGUAANNNNNNCUCUCCGAGUAGUGUGGAUGUUUAUUGGGCCUAGAGCAUCCGUAGCUUGCUAAGCAAGUCCCCUGUUAAAUCCACCGAUCCAAUCGGUGGAUUGCGGGGGAUACUGUUUGGCUAGGGGACGGGAGAGGCCGACGGUAUUUCCGGGGUAGGGGUGAANUCCUAUAAUCCCGGGAAGACCACCAGUGGCGAANGCUGUCGGCUAGAACGCGCCCGANGGUGAGGGAUGNAAGCUGGGGNANCGAACCGNAUUANAUACCCGGGUANUCCCAGCUG